This 99-nucleotide transfer RNA is filed under the name Puccinia graminis f. sp. tritici. It matches the Rfam family "tRNA". Rfam says of the family: Transfer RNA (tRNA) molecules are approximately 80 nucleotides in length. Their secondary structure includes four short double-helical elements and three loops (D, anti-codon, and T loops). Lineage: Eukaryota; Fungi; Basidiomycota; Pucciniomycetes; Pucciniales; Pucciniaceae. The record is from Rfam by way of RNAcentral.
GCCCGGUUAGCUCAGUCGGUAGAGCAUUCGGCUUUUACACGGUUCCUCCUCGGGAAACGGGUUCACCGAAAUGUCGGGGGUUCAGCCCCCCAUUGGGCG